GCAUGUGGUGUCAGUUGGUCAGAGUGCCGUACUAAUAAUGCGGAUGUCUUGGGUUUGACCCCCAAAUUGAGCA
RNAcentral lists this transfer RNA (73 nucleotides) under Melampsora larici-populina 98AG31. RNAcentral describes it as "tRNA-Ile (AAT) (tRNA-Ile-AAT-8-1)". Lineage: Eukaryota; Fungi; Basidiomycota; Pucciniomycetes; Pucciniales; Melampsoraceae. The record is from RNAcentral.